UUAAAUUUCAAAUGUUUGUUUUUUCUUAUUUCAAUGGAGAUUGAUUCAGUUUUAGGGAUGGAGUUUGUUUGAGUGUUAUCUUUGUUGGUCCGGUGGUGACUGUUGGAGGUUGAAGUUCAUUGUUCUGAUCUUAAAUUCAUUGUUCUCAUUUCGUGUUGGUUCAAGCUUCAGCUGUUUCGAAUUUGGGGUUGUAACAGUUGCUCGAUUUCUGUCUCGUGUAUUACUAAAUUUUUUAUUAAUCGAAAGUUUGAAAUUCAGUUUCCAUAGUUGUUGAAAUUCUAUUAAUUAAAAAGUAAUUUCAAUCCUUAAACUUCAUUUUGCUGCUAGGUUCUGUUGACUUGAGUCCAUUUUGGGUCUCACUUGUGAGACCUAUUCAGAACUGGGUGUUGAGGUUUUGAGGUCGUCAAGUAAGCUCUGUUGGUGUAGCCUGGUUCAGUUAUGGUUGCUCCAGCGAAUUAAAGCCUUGGAGAUACAGCGUCUAACAUAGUUCUAGAUGUCCGUUCGUUUCAUCAAUGCAAUGUUAUAGUGACGAGGUGAAUCCAAUUUGUUCGAUACGGCAUAAUGAAAUCUGUCAUUACCACACAACUUCUUUAAUCAGCAAUUUGAGGGUGUGUUUUCAAUUCUUAAUGUUAAUACUCACUAUGUAUUCUUUCUGUUAAUGAAAGAGCUGUAGUAAGUUCUGUAUACGUAGUUUUAUGACCUCAUAUCAUGUCAUGGCUUUUGAAUUAUUUUGUUUGACUUAAUU
RNAcentral lists this long non-coding RNA (745 nucleotides) under Nicotiana benthamiana. Its description in RNAcentral is "long non-coding RNA (NBEN_LNC014631)". Lineage: Eukaryota; Viridiplantae; Streptophyta; Magnoliopsida; Solanales; Solanaceae. The record is from RNAcentral.